CCAGCUCUUUGACAUGUCCAUUAUGGGUCUGAGACGAUCCAGAUCCUUCGGUUCGGCCGGGUGGAACACAGGUUGCUGCAUGGCUGUCGUCAGCUCGUGUCGUGAGAUGUUGGGUUAAGUCCCGCAACGAGCGCAACCCUCACCUUUAGUUGCUACCAGGUUAUGCUGGGCACUCUAGAGGAACCGCCGGUGAUAAGCCGGAGGAAGCGGGGAUGACGUCAAGUCCUCAUGGCCCUUACGGGCUGGGCUACACACGUACUACAAUGGUGGUGACAGUGGGAUGCGAAAGCGCGAGCUGGAGCGAAUCCCCAAAAGCCAUCUCAGUUCGGAUUGCACUCUGCAACUCGAGUGCAUGAAGUUGGAAUCGCUAGUAAUCGUGGAUCAGAAUGCCACGGUGAAUACGUUCCCGGGCCUU
Molecule: ribosomal RNA, 415 nt
Filed under: uncultured Rhodospirillaceae bacterium
Lineage: Bacteria; Pseudomonadati; Pseudomonadota; Alphaproteobacteria; Rhodospirillales; Rhodospirillaceae
Description: bacterial SSU rRNA
Rfam family: Bacterial small subunit ribosomal RNA
Source: RNAcentral